Molecule: unclassified non-coding RNA, 1164 nt
Filed under: Burkholderia sp.
Lineage: Bacteria; Pseudomonadati; Pseudomonadota; Betaproteobacteria; Burkholderiales; Burkholderiaceae
Description: partial contains 16S ribosomal RNA and 16S-23S ribosomal RNA intergenic spacer
Rfam family: Bacterial small subunit ribosomal RNA (bases 306-1164)
Source: RNAcentral
GACAAAAAGGCCGCGGCGAGCAGCGCACACAAGAAAAAAAGACGCAAAAGACAGCAGCAAAAACGCGAACCGCCGAACGCCCCAAAACAGGCAUGCCCACCACGAAAGAAAUGGAAAAAGCGACCAAACACAGACAAACCUUUUUUUUUUUUUUUUUGGGGGGUCAGCGUUGGGAUUUUUGGCCCAUGGGGGGCAGACUUCUCUCCCCACUUCCCCUUGGUUUUAAAAGGUUUUCUGCUCCUAAAGCCCUUGUAAACCGGUGGAAGGGCCCAUUGUUUAACGCCUGUACGCCUUGGCCGUUAACGCCCGUAAUGACCUCCGGGUCAAUCCUCCACCUCAGUCGGGGUUGGUAACCGGAAGUGUCCCAAGGAUUACCCACAAUUAGGUGGUGGUAACUAAGGACAAGGGUUUCGCUCAUUACGGAACUUAAAUCCAACAUGUUCACGACCUCGAGAUGACGUCAACCAUGCAGCACCUAUAUUUGAGUUGCGGAAGGCAGCAAUCCAUGUGUAGAAAUUUAUCGGCAAGACAUGGGCAGGUACGCUUGUGCCGAAGGCGUCCACUUGGACCGCUAGCUGACACUGAGUUGCCAAAGCGUGGUGAGCAAACAGGAGUUUGAUACCUUGCGUAGUGCACUCCGCAAGCGAUGUAGAUUAGCCGUUAGGAUCCUCGAGAUGAUAUCAAGGCAGCCAACGGGUUAACUAGAUCGCCUGCGGAGUACAGCCGCAAGGUAAAAACUCAAAUGAAUUGACGGGGGUUCGCACAAGCAGUGGCAGCAUGCGGUUUAAUUCGAAGCAACGCGAAGAACCUUACCUGGCCAUGACAUGCUGAGAACUUUCCAGAGAUGGAUUGGUGCCUUCGGGAACUCAGACACAGGUGCUGCAUGGCUGUCGUCAGCUCGCGUCGUGAGAUGUUGGGUUAAGUCUUGUAACGAGGGCAACCCUUGUCGUUAGUUACCAGCACUUAGGGUGGGCACUCUAAGGAGACUGCCGGUGACAAACCGGAGGAAGGUGGGGAUGACGUCAAGUCAUCAUGGCCCUUACGGCCAGGGCUACACACGUGCUACAAUGGUCGGUACAAAGGGUUGCCAAGCCGCGAGGUGGAGCUAAUCCUCAUAAAACCGAUCGUAGUCCGGAUCGCAGUCUGCACUCGUACGUCAUGCCC